GAUGAAGAACGUAGUGAAAUGCGAUACGUAAUGUGAAUUGCAAAUUCAGUGAAUCAUCGAGUCUUUGAACGCACAUUGCGCCCCCUGGUAUUCCGGAGGGCAUGCCUGUCUGAGCGUCAUUGUCAACCCUCAAGCUCAGCUUGCUGUUGGGUCCCCGUCGUUGCUUUAACGGCGGACCCGAAAGGUAAUGGCAGAGUCCGUGAGACCCUAGACGCAGCGAGCUUCUAGCACGCGUCUGGACGUUUUUCGGGCUCGGUCUUAACUAGAUGAUAACUUCCGAUUGACCUCAGAUCAGGUAGGGAUACCCGCUGAACUUAAGCAUAUCAAUAAGCGGAGGA
RNAcentral lists this unclassified non-coding RNA (338 nucleotides) under soil metagenome. RNAcentral's name for it is "partial contains 5.8S ribosomal RNA, internal transcribed spacer 2, and large subunit ribosomal RNA". The stretch from base 1 to 119 matches the Rfam family "5.8S ribosomal RNA", at positions 35 to 154 of the family's 154-position model. The record is from RNAcentral.